This 432-nucleotide ribosomal RNA is filed under the name uncultured bacterium. RNAcentral's name for it is "bacterial SSU rRNA". It matches the Rfam family "Bacterial small subunit ribosomal RNA", at positions 917 to 1349 of the family's 1533-position model. The record is from RNAcentral.
GGCCCCGCACAAGCGGUGGAGUAUGUGGUUUAAUUCGAUGCAACGCGAAGAACCUUACCAGGGUUUGACAUCCUGCGAAUCUCUUGGAAACAGGAGAGUGCCUUCGGGAACGCAGUGACAGGUGGUGCAUGGCUGUCGUCAGCUCGUGUCGUGAGAUGUUGGGUUAAGUCCCGCAACGAGCGCAACCCACGUCUUUAGUUGCCAGCAUUUAGUUGGGCACUCUAGAGAGACUGCCGGUGAUAAACCGGAGGAAGGUGUGGAUGAUGUCAAGUCAUCAUGCCCCUUACAUCCUGGGCUACACACGUACUACAAUGCUACGGACAAAGGGCUGCAAGUUCGCGAGGACAAGCAAAUCCCAUAAACCCGUGGCUCAGUUCAGAUCGUAGGCUGCAACUCGCCUACGUGAAGGCGGAAUCGCUAGUAAUCGCAGGU